GCUCAUAUAGCUCAGUCGGUAGAGCACUUCCUUGGUAAGGAAGAGGUCUCCAGUUCGAAUCUGGAUAUGAGCUCCA
RNAcentral lists this transfer RNA (76 nucleotides) under Gammaproteobacteria bacterium. Its description in RNAcentral is "tRNA-Thr". It matches the Rfam family "tRNA". From Rfam's summary of the family: Transfer RNA (tRNA) molecules are approximately 80 nucleotides in length. Lineage: Bacteria; Pseudomonadati; Pseudomonadota; Gammaproteobacteria. The record is from RNAcentral. RNAcentral also lists the same sequence under 2 other names.